Long non-coding RNA from Culex pipiens pallens (northern house mosquito), 671 nucleotides. RefSeq lists it as uncharacterized. The record is from RefSeq and is a predicted model, not a curated record. Lineage: Eukaryota; Metazoa; Arthropoda; Insecta; Diptera; Culicidae. The transcript has 2 exons.
UUUUAAUAGUAGUUUAUGCAACAAGUUGCAAAAAGAAGAUUUUUUCAGCACGAGUUGUACAUUUAUCCAACGAGGUUUACCGAGUUGGAUAAAUACGACGAGUGCUGAAAAAAUCAAGUUUUGCAACGAGUUGCUUACAACAUUUUUUGCAAUUCCGAAAAACGCUUUUUGAAUGGAAUUUUAUGUCAAACAUUCAUGUGUUUAGUAAAUUCAUCGUUCAAAACAAAACAAUAUUGAAAAAUGUUACUUUUCGAUACUAGUGCUGAAAAGUUCAACUUUUCAGCACCCAUUUCAGUGCUGAAAAGUAGAACUUUUCAGCACUGUUAUUGAAAGGUAUUAAUUUUCCAUUCUGUUAUUUUUGGUAGGGAAAAGUAGGCCGUUUCGUUUCUCCAGAAGGGCAGGAAAAGUUGACAGUUUCACAGUGGAAUUGCAAAAUAGUAGUUUAUGCAACAAGUUGCAAAAAGAGGAUUUUUUCAGCACGAGUCGUACAUUUAUCCAACGAGGUUCACCGAGUUGGAUAAAUACGAAGAGUGCUGAAAAAAUCAAGUUUUGCAACGAGUUCCAUACAACAUUUUUUGCAAUUCCGAAAAACACCCAUUGAGUGAAAUUUUAAGUCAAAUUUUCAUGUAUUUGUCAAUAAAUCGUUUAAAUCAAAACAAUGUUGAAAAGUG